RNAcentral lists this long non-coding RNA (646 nucleotides) under Malus domestica (apple). RNAcentral's name for it is "long non-coding RNA (MDOM_LNC014929)". The record is from RNAcentral. Lineage: Eukaryota; Viridiplantae; Streptophyta; Magnoliopsida; Rosales; Rosaceae.
AAAAGUGAAGGAAGGGAAAGAAAAAAAAAGUUGUUUCAAGAUAGUUAUGUUUGAAAUAAAAGGACGAGUGGUAAGAGUUUUAAUGUAGUCUCUUUAACCAUGUUGGUUCACUUUAUACCAAAGGAAGUUCAUGAAUUCUUUUGGAAAGAUGUUCUAAACUUUAACGUUUUCUAUGGAUUGCAACUUGAAGGUGAAAUUUUUGUGUCAUAGUUAGUCUUGUUUAAGUUUCUAGUUUGUUAGUUCAUAUAUUUGUUUUUGAGUUUUGUUUUGCUUGAGGACAAGCAAAAAGCUAAGUUUAGGGGUAUUUGAUGAGUUCAUAUUAUACAAUAUAUUUUACCCUAUUCUUAGUUAUAGUUUAUUGGUUAUUUUGGUAGAAUUUUGAUAUUUUGUUAUAUAUUUUCAAUAUAGCACAUUCAAAUUCCUCUGGAGCAAAAAGUGAUCAAACUGAUGAAUUUUGGAGUGAUUCUAAUUGGAAGAUGGUCGUAAGUUUUUCAAGAUGAUUGUGUUAAAAUUUCAUAUUUUUCUACCAAGCCGUUUAACCGUGGCGAUGAAAUUAAGGCCCAGCACGCAGCAUUCCCAGAUUGACGUGUUUUGACGUUUGGGGCAUUUUGGAGGUCAAGAUCACAUAUUUUGAGAAAUAUUCCUU